GCCGGUGUGGCGAAACUGGCAGACGCACCGCACUCAAAAUGCGGCGGAGUGAUCCAUGCCGGUUCGAGUCCGGCCACCGGCACCA
This 85-nucleotide transfer RNA is filed under the name Oscillospiraceae bacterium. RNAcentral's name for it is "tRNA-Leu". It matches the Rfam family "tRNA". Rfam says of the family: Transfer RNA (tRNA) molecules are approximately 80 nucleotides in length. Their secondary structure includes four short double-helical elements and three loops (D, anti-codon, and T loops). Further hydrogen bonds mediate the characteristic L-shaped molecular structure. tRNAs have two regions of fundamental functional importance: the anti-codon, which is responsible for specific mRNA codon recognition, and the 3' end, to which the tRNAs corresponding amino acid is attached (by aminoacyl-tRNA synthetases). tRNAs cope with the degeneracy of the genetic code in two manners: having more than one tRNA (with a specific anti-codon) for a particular amino acid; and 'wobble' base-pairing, i.e. permitting non-standard base-pairing at the 3rd anti-codon position. RNAcentral also lists the same sequence under 2 other names. The record is from RNAcentral. Lineage: Bacteria; Bacillati; Bacillota; Clostridia; Eubacteriales; Oscillospiraceae.